AGAAGCAGUGACGCAUUAGGGGAAGGAGAAGAGAAAUUCACCGAAACCCUUACGGUGAUUUCAAAAUGCCGUAGCUCCUCUGUCCGAACUCCGAUCGCCGCACCGUUUGUGACCACGCGUCCACCGCGUCGAGCUCUACAUUUCUACCGGAACAAUUUCAUAGAUACAGGUCGAGAGGCAUCUCGUUAGGCGUCUGGACUCUUGAAGCAGAAUGGUUACAGGGUUAUAUAUAUAUAUAUAACCCUACCUCUCCAUAUACACGUACUUGAUUUUCUCUCCACAUAACUUGUUCUUUUGAUCCUCAUAGAGGUUUAUGGAGAGGUAGGAUUGUGUAUAUGUACUUUUGGGUUUUGGAUAUGUAUAUAUAUGUAUAUAUGUGUGUAUAUUCUCCGGCCAGUCUUGAUUUUGCAGGCUGAGUCAAGAGCUCGUUAUUUUGUAUCAUUGACUCUCUAUUCCUGUUUUGGGUUACUUUACACUUGACAGCUGUAGCUUUCUUAGCACGCAAGUUAA
Molecule: non-coding RNA, 510 nt
Organism: Arachis ipaensis
Lineage: Eukaryota; Viridiplantae; Streptophyta; Magnoliopsida; Fabales; Fabaceae
Source: RefSeq, a predicted model, not a curated record